GGAGGAGGAGGUAAAGCGGAAAGCAGUGAGGCACAAGUGAACGAUUUCCUCUGUAGGCGUUGUGCCGAUAAGACGUGUGUGCAUCAAGAUGUGUCUGUCCGCCGCUUUGCCGCGAUAUACGAGUGCUGGUGUGUGUCAUUCUUCUCAUGGCAUUGUUGUUGUAGGUAUGAAGCAGUGUGUACACCAAGGGAGGACGUCUGGUCAUGCCGCCCAUCCCCUAAACAUGGGCAUAUGUCUCGGGCGUCAGUCACUCAGGCGAUGGAGCACGUCCCGCCACAAGUCUAUCACCGGUGCGGCGUCCCAACUUGGUGGAGCCACAUCUGUUUACCCAGGCGAACUCGUUAGCCACAGCAGCGUUCGAGUCCGACCUGUACCCGCUGAAGUGUGAGAAGCCCCGGCAUUCUGUUGCCGCUCCUCCUCAUCCGUGCAGGUCGUCCUCUUCAGAAGAGGACGCAGACCGCGGAGGCGUGCGGUCCGGCACAAGUAGGGCCCGGGCAGUUUCAACUCGUUCGUUGUUGGCGUCCUGCCACUACAGAAGGGAGAACCAAACCAGCGUGUCCAAACCCGCCCCUCCCAACCUGCAGCAAGAAACUGGUAGACGGCCGUCUGACAACACAAGGAGCCAUCCAGGGAAGAACAGACUGCCUCGCUUCAUCUGAACUAACAAAUAAAUGUUGCCAGUCACUCUUCUAAUGUCUUUAUUCCUUCUAAUGUGAAUGUACGCACAAAACUAAUACAUUUUGCCAAUCACUUUGCUUGUGAUGUUUUUAUUCCUGUCUAAUGUGAAUGUAUGCACAUAACCAAUACAUUUUGCUAUCACUUUGUAAUGUCAUUCCUUCCAUCUAAUGUGAAUGUGCCCACGUAAGUGUAAUGUUAUUCCUGUUCUGUGAUGUACCCACAUAACUGGUAUUAGUACUGAAUAAUAAAUCCAUUUUAAGAAAA
Molecule: RNA transcript, 942 nt
Organism: Portunus trituberculatus (swimming crab)
Lineage: Eukaryota; Metazoa; Arthropoda; Malacostraca; Decapoda; Portunidae
Exons: 3
Source: RefSeq, a predicted model, not a curated record